This 433-nucleotide ribosomal RNA is filed under the name uncultured bacterium. RNAcentral describes it as "partial 16S ribosomal RNA". It matches the Rfam family "Bacterial small subunit ribosomal RNA", at positions 29 to 507 of the family's 1533-position model. The record is from RNAcentral.
AACGAACGCUGGCGGCAUGCCUAACACAUGCCAGUCGAACGAGACCUUCGGGUCUGGUGGCGCACGGGGGCGUAACGCGUGGGAACCUGCCCUUAGGUUCGGAAUAACUCCCCGAAAGGGGUGCUAAUACCGGAUAAUGACUUCGGACUAAAGAGUUAUCGCCUUUGGAUGGUCCCGCGUUGGAUUAGCUAGUUGGUAGGGUAAAAGCCUACCAAGGGUACGAUCGAUAGCUGGUCUGAGAGGAUGAUCAGCCACACUGGGACUGAGACACGGCCCAGACUCCUACGGGAGGCAGCAGUGGGGAAUAUUGGACAAUGGGCGAGAGCCUGAUCCAGCAAUGCUGCGUGAUGGAUGAAGGCCUUAGGGUUGUAAAGCUCUUGUACCCGGGAUGAUAAUGACAGUACCGUGAGAAUAAGCUCCGGCUAACUCCGUG